Molecule: ribosomal RNA, 200 nt
Filed under: Klebsiella oxytoca
Lineage: Bacteria; Pseudomonadati; Pseudomonadota; Gammaproteobacteria; Enterobacterales; Enterobacteriaceae
Also listed under: 1 other name
Description: partial 23S ribosomal RNA
Rfam family: Bacterial large subunit ribosomal RNA
Source: RNAcentral
AGCUUGACACUGAACACUGGUCCUUGAUGUGUAGGAUAGGUGGGAGGCUUUGAAGCGUGGACGCCAGUCUGCGUGGAGCCAUCCUUGAAAUACCACCCUUUAAUGGCUGGUGUUCUAACGUGGGCCCGUUAUCCGGGUUGCGGACAGUGUCUGGUGGGUAGUUUGACUGGGGCGGUCUCCUCCUAAAGAGUAACGGAGGA